UGAGGAAUUUUGCGCAAUGGGAGCAAUCCUGACGCAGCAACGCCGCGUGGGUGAUGAAGGCCUUCGGGUCGUAAAGCCCUGUCAGGUGGGAAGAAUGUCCCGGGACUGAACAGGUUUCGGGAGUGACGGUACCACCAGAGGAAGCACCGGCUAACUCCGUGCCAGCAGCCGCUGUAAUACGGAGGGUGCAAGCGUUAUUCGGACUUACUGGGCGUCAAGCGCGUGUAGGCGGCCCUGCAAGUCUGAUGUGAAAGCCCCGGGCUUAACCCGGGAAGU
This 276-nucleotide ribosomal RNA is filed under the name uncultured prokaryote. RNAcentral's name for it is "partial 16S ribosomal RNA". It matches the Rfam family "Bacterial small subunit ribosomal RNA", at positions 355 to 622 of the family's 1533-position model. The record is from RNAcentral.